RNAcentral lists this long non-coding RNA (527 nucleotides) under Bemisia tabaci. RNAcentral's name for it is "lncRNA ENSSSA2NGG005942". The record is from RNAcentral. Lineage: Eukaryota; Metazoa; Arthropoda; Insecta; Hemiptera; Aleyrodidae.
UUAUGUUUACCAUUCCAGGCCAUCGAAUGUGCACUUGCGAAUGUAGUGCCUGCAGGAGGCAGUGAAAUUUGGAGUGAGGAAGCUCGCCUGUUCGUCUACGAAAUGACUGUAGGACGAGUGCUGCAAGCUCAAAUCUAUGACUAUGCGGUAGAAACAGGAAUCCCCUUGUUUACCUUUACUCGACUUUCGACGAUCAGGUCAUUCUCAUCAAUGAAGAACUCGUGAAACGAGGGUUUGCUGAAUUACCUCCAGCUAUCGUACCACAGGAAUGCCUUGAAGUUGUGAACGAAAUAGUCCCUGAAACUGACGGUGAAAUCCAGCUUGAGGAAUCAGUCGAGAAUGAAGACGCUGAAAAAGCUGAUUCUGGAAUCGCAAAUGAGUCAGAUGAAGUUGCUCAGCCUGAAGAUGACUCAGUACCAGAAACUGAAUCGCUUAAAACUGAUGAUAUCACCUGUGAUGAACCGCAAACAACAUUGAAAGCAGACGAAACAAGUAGCACAGAAGAGGAAACCGUGAAGGAAGAGUAA